UUAUAGGGUUCUUCUUUAGCUUAAGCUAUGGCGCUUCCCACUGAGAAGAUCGAUCGCUUGACAGUGCUCCAUGGCGCGAUCGUCGUCACCAUGGACGGCGAUCGAAAUGUAUACGCUUGCGGCGGCUUGGCGAUGCGCGGUGACAGGAUUAUUGCUGUUGGUGAGGAUCAGGCGAUUCUGGCCGAUUUUGCGAGUGGUGCGGACGACAUUGUCGAUCUCUCUGGUCGUUUGAUCAUACCUGGGCUCAUCAACACUCACGUACACACAUCGCAGCAGCUCGGCCGGGGAAUUGCCGAUGAUGUCGAUCUUCUCACCUGGCUCCACAAGCGCAUCUGGCCAUACGAAUCGAGCAUGACGGACAGCGAUUCUUUUCUCUCCACUUUGCUCUGUGGGAUAGAACUCAUUCGAUCUGGCGUAACUUGCUUCGCUGAAGCUGGCGGACAGCAUGUACCGGCCAUGGCUCGAGCAGUAGAGCUUCUGGGAAUUCGUGCGUGCUUGACACGCUCAACGAUGGACUCUGGGGAAGGCUUGCCGAGCUCGUGGGCAACCGAGACAACUGACUCCUGUCUCACGGCCCAGGAAGAGCUAUACAAGAGUUUAAAUGGUAGUGCUGGGGGGCGUAUACGUGUGUGGUUUGGUUUACGACAGAUUAUGAACGCUACCGAUGCAUUGCUGCUGCGUACUAAAGAAGCUGCCGACAAGUAUAACACUGGAAUACACAUGCAUGUUUCAGAGAUUCCUUACGAAAACGAGUACGUUAUCAAGACAAGGGGCGUAGAGAACGGCACGGUCACCCAUUUGGACAGGAUUGGCGUUCUUGGAGAAAAUCUCUUGGCUGCACAUUCGGUAUGGAUCAACGAGGGAGAGGUCAAAAUGAUGGCAAAAUCCGGAGUUAAAGUGUCACAUUGUCCUGCUUCCGCUAUGCGCAUGCUAGGAUUUUGUCCCGUUCAAGAAAUGCUAGAGCAAGGUGUUUGUGUCUCCAUUGGAACAGACGGUGCUCCCUCAAACAACAGAAUGAGCAUGGUGGACGAGAUGUACUUAGCGUCCUUGAUAAACAAAGGAAAGCUGGCUCACACCAGAGGAACAACUGAUCCCACUGCAUUGCCAGCGGAGACGGUUUUAGAAAUGGCUACCAUCAACGGAGCCAAAUCCGUCCUGUGGGACAAUGAAAUCGGCUCUAUAGAAGUCCACAAAAAGGCUGAUUUUGUAGUGAUCAAUCCACAGACGUGGUCGAUGGUGCCUCUCCACGAUCCGAUUUCGAGCCUUGUUUACUCGAUGAGGAGCGAGAACAUUGAGUCAGUGAUCUGUGACGGUGUCUGGAUAAUGCGUGACCGAAAGAUACUAACAAUCGAAGAGGCCACAAUUCUCAAGACUGCGGCUCAGGCUGCCCAGGAGCUGAUCCAUAGAGCUGGGAUCCAACUCCCGGAAAGAAUGAAAGUCACGAAAUAAAUCUCAAAAAAAAAAAACGUAAGCAUUUUUGUUCUCCAAAACUUACAAGAUAGUUGUUUAGAUCAAGUGCAUGCAAAGCCCGGUGGAACGACCAGGCUGCAAGCAGCGAUAUACGUCUUCACUCUCUGGGCCAUGACUGUCCCUUCGAGCAAGCUACAAAAGCAAUCCAGGCUGAGGCUUCUCACGGCGACGCAGCACUGACUGGUUGGAGAAUCGAGAGCUUUGCCGUCAUCGAUGCAAGGGAGAGAUUUCUCUGGAAGAUCGGGAUCAGUGCAAGCCCCUCCCGCCACGACCAGCAGCGCCAAGAGAAGAAACGACACCUUGACGAAGAAGAUCAGGCCAGCCAUUUUCUUACACACCACCUUUCUUUCACUUACCUUGGUUUUGGCUUUGUCCUUCCAAGAUUUAUAUCGAAACGUUCACAAGAAAAAUGGAGGGCUCUUAGCCCAUUUUUUCGAUAUCUUGGCAGUGUGAACAGCUGCUUGAUCCAUGCAUCCGGUCAGCAUCUUUUCAUCCUUGAAAGUGAUCAGAAUUGCUGUGGGGCUGCUCAAAACUGCUAUUGACUUCGUUGCUCAAGAGAUCGAGAUCAAAAGCUUCCUUGUUCUUCUUUUUCUUCUUUGGAAA
Selaginella moellendorffii is the source of this 2073-nucleotide RNA transcript. It is a transcript of the gene named 5-methylthioadenosine/S-adenosylhomocysteine deaminase, with no coding region annotated. The record is from RefSeq and is a predicted model, not a curated record. The transcript has 11 exons. NCBI's taxonomy places the organism in Eukaryota, Viridiplantae, Streptophyta, Lycopodiopsida, Selaginellales, Selaginellaceae.